UCGGGAAUUUUGGGCAAUGGGCGAAAGCCUGACCCAGCAACGCCGCGUGAAGGAUGAAGUAUUUCGGUAUGUAAACUUCGAAAGAAUAGGAAGAAUAAAUGACGGUACUAUUUAUAAGGUCCGGCUAACUACGUGCCAGCAGCCGCGGUAAUACGUAGGGACCAAGCGUUGUUCGGAUUUACUGGGCGUAAAGGGCGCGUAGGCGGCUUGUCAAGUCACUUGUGAAAUCUCUGGGCUUAACCCAGAACGGCCAAGUGAAACUGACAUGCUAGAGUGCAGAAGGGGCAAUCGGAAUUCUUGGUGUAGCGGUGAAAUGCGUAGAUAUCAAGAGGAACACCUGAGGUGAAGACGGGUUGCUGGGCUGACACUGACGCUGAGGCGCGAAAGCCAGGGGAGCAAACGGG
RNAcentral lists this ribosomal RNA (404 nucleotides) under uncultured bacterium. RNAcentral's name for it is "bacterial SSU rRNA". It matches the Rfam family "Bacterial small subunit ribosomal RNA", at positions 355 to 776 of the family's 1533-position model. The record is from RNAcentral.